RNAcentral lists this ribosomal RNA (1110 nucleotides) under Staphylococcus aureus. RNAcentral describes it as "partial 23S ribosomal RNA". It matches the Rfam family "Bacterial large subunit ribosomal RNA", at positions 468 to 1581 of the family's 2925-position model. The record is from RNAcentral. Lineage: Bacteria; Bacillati; Bacillota; Bacilli; Caryophanales; Staphylococcaceae.
AAAUACUCUCUAGUGACCGAUAGUGAACCAGUACCGUGAGGGAAAGGUGAAAAGCACCCCGGAAGGGGAGUGAAAUAGAACCUGAAACCGUGUGCUUACAAGUAGUCAGAGCCCGUUAAUGGGUGAUGGCGUGCCUUUUGUAGAAUGAACCGGCGAGUUACGAUUUGAUGCAAGGUUAAGCAGUAAAUGUGGAGCCGUAGCGAAAGCGAGUCUGAAUAGGGCGUUUAGUAUUUGGUCGUAGACCCGAAACCAGGUGAUCUACCCUUGGUCAGGUUGAAGUUCAGGUAACACUGAAUGGAGGACCGAACCGACUUACGUUGAAAAGUGAGCGGAUGAACUGAGGGUAGCGGAGAAAUUCCAAUCGAACCUGGAGAUAGCUGGUUCUCUCCGAAAUAGCUUUAGGGCUAGCCUCAAGUGAUGAUUAUUGGAGGUAGAGCACUGUUUGGACGAGGGGCCCCUCUCGGGUUACCGAAUUCAGACAAACUCCGAAUGCCAAUUAAUUUAACUUGGGAGUCAGAACAUGGGUGAUAAGGUCCGUGUUCGAAAGGGAAACAGCCCAGACCACCAGCUAAGGUCCCAAAAUAUAUGUUAAGUGGAAAAGGAUGUGGCGUUGCCCAGACAACUAGGAUGUUGGCUUAGAAGCAGCCAUCAUUUAAAGAGUGCGUAAUAGCUCACUAGUCGAGUGACACUGCGCCGAAAAUGUACCGGGGCUAAACAUAUUACCGAAGCUGUGGAUUGUCCUUUGGACAAUGGUAGGAGAGCGUUCUAAGGGCGUUGAAGCAUGAUCGUAAGGACAUGUGGAGCGCUUAGAAGUGAGAAUGCCGGUGUGAGUAGCGAAAGACGGGUGAGAAUCCCGUCCACCGAUUGACUAAGGUUUCCAGAGGAAGGCUCGUCCGCUCUGGGUUAGUCGGGUCCUAAGCUGAGGCCGACAGGCGUAGGCGAUGGAUAACAGGUUGAUAUUCCUGUACCACCUAUAAUCGUUUUAAUCGAUGGGGGGACGCAGUAGGAUAGGCGAAGCGUGCGAUUGGAUUGCACGUCUAAGCAGUAAGGCUGAGUAUUAGGCAAAUCCGGUACUCGUUAAGGCUGAGCUGUGAUGGGGAGAAGACAUUG